CCUACGGGAGGCAGCAGUGGGGAAUAUUGGGCAAUGGGCGAAAGCGGGAUCCAGCCAUGCCGCGUGUGUGAAGAAGGUCUCCUGAUUGUAAAGCACUUUAAGUUGGGAGGAAGGGCAGUCACCCACUACGUA
RNAcentral lists this ribosomal RNA (132 nucleotides) under uncultured Pseudomonas sp. Its description in RNAcentral is "partial 16S ribosomal RNA". It matches the Rfam family "Bacterial small subunit ribosomal RNA", at positions 338 to 469 of the family's 1533-position model. The record is from RNAcentral. Lineage: Bacteria; Pseudomonadati; Pseudomonadota; Gammaproteobacteria; Pseudomonadales; Pseudomonadaceae.